AACUUGGUGCUCUUAUUGAUAGAGGAGAUUUUGAUGCCUGUGUGUCUGGUGGAGCAGCAAGAAAUGCUGUUAAAUGUUUCUCUCUCUCUAAUGGAGACAUAGUGCUACUUUUACAAGUUAAUAUUGGUGUUAAUUUUAUAAGAGAUCCUGUUAUUGAGAUUCUUCAAUUUGAGAAAAAUCAUGAGAGAAAUCUGUCUGCUGAGAACUGGGACAACUUAAAUGGGAAUUAUGACCCUUGUGGUGAAUUGUUAAAAUGGUUGCUUCCUUUGGAUAACACUCUUCCUCCUCCAGCUCGUGCUCUAUCUCCUCCUCAUUUAGGUUCUGGUUCAGAAAUUGGCGGGGCUUCUCAAAAGUCUGCCCCUUCUGGUUCUCAGCUCUUUUCUCAUUUUAGAAGUUACUCCAUGUCAUCAUUGCCUCAAAAUACUGCAUCAUCUCCUCAACCUAUUAAAACCCAAAGUUCUAAGCCCAGCUUUGACAUUGGAGACUGGAGCCAGUACUCAUCUCAGAGGUUAUGGAAAAAUCAAACAACAGGGGGCGAUGGUCUUCUAUCUUUCCGAGGUGUAUCAUUAGAGCGAGAGAGAUUUUCUGUUCGCUGUGGGUUGGAAGGAAUCUACAUUCCAGGAAGGCGGUGGUGGAGGAAACUUGAAAUAAUUCAACCAGUAGAAAUCCAUUCUUUUGCUGCUGACUGCAAUACAGAUGACCUUCUCUGUGUCCAGAUAAAGAAUGUUUCUCCAACAAGUAAUCCCGAUAUUGUGAUAUACAUAGAUGCUAUAACAAUUGUUAUUGAGGAGGCUUCAAAGCCUGGAUCACCUUCAUCAUUACCAAUUGCAUGCAUUGAAACUGGAAAUAACCACUGUUUACCAAAUCUAGCUCUCAGGAGGGGUGAAGAGCACUCUUUUAU
Molecule: unclassified non-coding RNA, 901 nt
Filed under: Hevea brasiliensis (rubber tree)
Lineage: Eukaryota; Viridiplantae; Streptophyta; Magnoliopsida; Malpighiales; Euphorbiaceae
Source: RNAcentral